This 73-nucleotide transfer RNA is filed under the name Sarcophilus harrisii (Tasmanian devil). It matches the Rfam family "tRNA". From Rfam's summary of the family: Transfer RNA (tRNA) molecules are approximately 80 nucleotides in length. Their secondary structure includes four short double-helical elements and three loops (D, anti-codon, and T loops). The record is from Rfam by way of RNAcentral. Lineage: Eukaryota; Metazoa; Chordata; Mammalia; Dasyuromorphia; Dasyuridae.
GGUCACAUAUUCUAGGAGAUAAGGAGUCUGAUUUGGGGUCAUAAGACUAAAGGUUCGAAUCCCUCUGUGAUUG